ACUUUUAAAGGACAAUAGCUAUCCACUGGUUUUAGGCAUCAGCAAUCUUGGUGCAAUUCCAAGUAAAAGUA
RNAcentral lists this transfer RNA (71 nucleotides) under Diplometopon zarudnyi. RNAcentral's name for it is "tRNA-Leu". Lineage: Eukaryota; Metazoa; Chordata; Lepidosauria; Squamata; Trogonophidae. The record is from RNAcentral.